Molecule: long non-coding RNA, 252 nt
Filed under: Lathyrus oleraceus (garden pea)
Lineage: Eukaryota; Viridiplantae; Streptophyta; Magnoliopsida; Fabales; Fabaceae
Description: Pisum sativum (pea) long non-coding RNA (PSAT_LNC019012)
Source: RNAcentral
CGUCGAGUUCCUUCCCAGUCAUUGGUAAAUGUCUGGUCGAGUAUCUUUUCUUUGGUGUCAGUAAACAUCAUUGUUCGAUGUCAGUAAAUGUCGAUUUCCUUCCCAGUCAUUGGUAAAUGUCUGGUCGAGUAUCUUUUCUUUGGUGUCAGUAAAUAUCAUUGUUCGAUGUCAGUAAACGUCGAGUUCCUUCCCAGUCAUUGGUAAAUGUUUGGUCGAAUAUCCUCUGAUAUGUCGCCAUCAGAGUGGUGGUUG